AUCGCUUCUGCGCCUUUUCGGCUAAGAUCAAAGUGUAGUAUCUGUUCUCGUCGGUUUGAAAGCCGGCGCUGGUCUCAUUGAGGCCAGGCUCUUUCAAGCAGAUUUUUGGACAUCGGUCGGGAUCAUCCGAGUUACACUUGGACCCGGACCAUGGAUCGUCUCGACACUGCAGUGCCGUCGAGUUUGGUCCACUCCCG
Molecule: small nuclear RNA, 197 nt
Filed under: Adineta vaga
Lineage: Eukaryota; Metazoa; Rotifera; Eurotatoria; Adinetida; Adinetidae
Description: U2 spliceosomal RNA
Rfam family: U2 spliceosomal RNA
About the family: U2 is a small nuclear RNA (snRNA) component of the spliceosome (involved in pre-mRNA splicing). Complementary binding between U2 snRNA (in an area lying towards the 5' end but 3' to hairpin I) and the branchpoint sequence (BPS) of the intron results the bulging out of an unpaired adenosine, on the BPS, which initiates a nucleophilic attack at the intronic 5' splice site, thus starting the first of two transesterification reactions that mediate splicing.
Source: RNAcentral